Molecule: long non-coding RNA, 633 nt
Organism: Bactrocera neohumeralis
Lineage: Eukaryota; Metazoa; Arthropoda; Insecta; Diptera; Tephritidae
Exons: 2
Source: RefSeq, a predicted model, not a curated record
CAAUUCUAGUGAACACGGACGCCACGUCACAAAAUCGGCUGUAUCUCCGAAAAUAAGUCGAAUUUUGAAAAAUCCUUCCAAGGUCAUAUUUUUGAAAGUCUAAACUUUCAAGAUAUCCAAAAAAAAAAUCGAUUUUUUCAAAAUCCUAGACAAGAAUACCCCCUUAAGUGUGGGGCUCCACUUAGAUCUGAACUGUUUUUAGAAAAUUAUUGUGCUCGUGAAAAGUGAUGGGUUUCCGCCUAGCCCGUGAAGCCAAGGCCUAGGGCGGCACUAUUUAGGGGCGGCAAAAUAUCAGAACGUUAAAACUUUGCAGCUGAAGAAAUAUACCAAGAUUUUAUUCCAAAAAUUAAUUCUUUUUUAUUUGAAUCUAUAGUAAAUUGACAAUGAUUUAUAAUAAAAUUUAUUUUUCCAUUGAUUUCGUAAUUCUUUAUAAUAUUAUAUAAUAUACAUAUAAUACAUUAAUUAUUAAUAUAAUAUAAUAAUUCCAUUAAUCAAUCAUAGUUUUAAUAGAAAAAUCAUUGUUUGCAAAAUACUACAUACCUUUUUACUUAGUAUCUUGAUGCAAUUGUUAAUAUUUUUUUCUUUGAACAUAAUGUUUAAAAAUAUAAAUUAAGAAUAAAUUAUUGAAAACUG